This 485-nucleotide long non-coding RNA is filed under the name Anas platyrhynchos platyrhynchos (common mallard). Its description in RNAcentral is "lncRNA (ENSAPLG00000029920.1)". Lineage: Eukaryota; Metazoa; Chordata; Aves; Anseriformes; Anatidae. The record is from RNAcentral.
GAGUCAUUCUGAUAGAUCUGAGCACAAGAGAGCUUCAGAGGCUUUAUCUGGUGAUAAUGAAAUGAUUGAAAAGUGAAGAACUGAUGAAAUAUUGUGAACUAUAACUUCUGUGUAGUUAUCAUGGCUAUCAGGAAACAAAAACCUAAGGAGAGGGAAGGGAUUAGAAGUUGAUGACUGAGGACAACUGAGGACUGUAAAGUGUACAUAAUAGAAUUGCAUGACAGACCAGAAAUAAUCAGAACUUCCGUCUUCAUAAAGAGUGCUACACUAAAGAGGAAUAUGCCCAAUUUGAAUAGUGCAACUCUAAUUCUGUGAGAACCAUGCAGUCAAGAUGCAUUGCACUUGCACAAUAUUUUAACAUCAUAAAGAAUAUAGCCAGUUAGAAAAAGAAAAAUACGUCUUCCUGGAGGUCAAGAAGGUGGAAAAGCAACAAAACUUCUGGAUGCAGAGUCCUCAUUUAUAAGCUUGUCAGGGUAAUUAGUGAU